GAUGAACGCUGGCGGCGUGCCUAAUACAUGCAAGUCGAGCGAACGGACGAGAAGCUUGCUUCUCUGAUGUUAGCGGCGGACGGGUGAGUAACACGUGGAUAACCUACCUAUAAGACUGGGAUAACUUCGGGAAACCGGAGCUAAUACCGGAUAAUAUUUUGAACCGCAUGGUUCAAAAGUGAAAGACGGUCUUGCUGUCACUUAUAGGUGGAUCCGCGCUGCAUUAGCUAGUUGGUAAGGUAACGGCUUACCAAGGCAACGAUGCAUAGCCGACCUGAGAGGGUGAUCGGCCACACUGGAACUGAGACACGGUCCAGACUCCUACGGGAGGCAGCAGUAGGGAAUCUUCCGCAAUGGGCGAAAGCCUGACGGAGCAACGCCGCGUGAGUGAUGAAGGUCUUCGGAUCGUAAAACUCUGUUAUUAGGGAAGAACAUAUGUGUAAGUAACUGUGCACAUCUUGACGGGACCUAAUCAGAAAGCCACGGCUAACUACG
This 495-nucleotide ribosomal RNA is filed under the name uncultured bacterium. Its description in RNAcentral is "partial 16S ribosomal RNA". It matches the Rfam family "Bacterial small subunit ribosomal RNA", at positions 28 to 505 of the family's 1533-position model. The record is from RNAcentral.